CUGCGCCAACAUGGCGUCGUCACUCGAAGCUUGCACCCGGCCGUUAGUUAUUCAAUAUCCUCUCAAGUGUAAACACUUGUGGACUUUGGUCCGCUCCGCUCCGCCGUCACAAGUCUCUUGAUUAUGGGAUAUUUUACGUGACUGCUGAAGGAAUUGACUAUUGAUGCAGUUCAGCCUUGACUGCACCCAGUCAACAGCAGCUGCAGGGCCUGGGCACAAAUACCUCGUUAUCGUUGGUGGCGUAGUUCUGAUUAUCCGAGUAGGAGAAGCCAACUCCGGCCGGGGACUCCAGUGUCCCACUGCUGCUACUCACCAAGGUACUGAAACAUGGUGGCUUCAGCCAAUGGUUCAGUGGCUAUCAUUGUCACAUCCAAGCCAGGAGCUUUUUGGUUCAAAUCUCACUCCAGAAACUCCAAAUAUUGAGGAUGAGAAAACAAUAUAUAAAAAACAUGAAUAGUUUGGGGAUGCGAGCAGUACUAGUCCUCAAGUCCCAUCAUUCAUCAAGCUCCUAGAUAUCCCUCCCAACCUCACUACAAAAAUACCAGCCCAGACUUCAGCAACUUGCAGAGUAAAUGAAUUUUGAACUGAAGAGGGUGAGGGU
This is a non-coding RNA of Chiloscyllium plagiosum (whitespotted bambooshark), 601 nucleotides long. Lineage: Eukaryota; Metazoa; Chordata; Chondrichthyes; Orectolobiformes; Hemiscylliidae. The record is from RefSeq and is a predicted model, not a curated record.